ACUAGUGAUUGGAAGUAAAAGUCGUAACAAGGUUUCCGUAGGUGAACCUGCGGAAGGAUCAUUAUCGAAGUCGAACGCUGGGAGGGAAAGGGGAGCCCCGACUGUCGCCGGCCUUCGGGCGCGUGCGCGUCGCUCCUCGGACCCUCCGAAGCUUUCAAACCUUCUCCACACCUGUGUGCACCCGCUGUAGGUCCUUCGGGAUCCUACGUCCUCUCUCUCUCGAACUCGCAUGUCUACAGAACGUGUAUGUCGGUCUCCGACCGCAAGCCUUUGUACAACUUUCAGCAAUGGAUCUCUUGGCUCUCGCAUCGAUGAAGGACGCAGCGAAUCGCGAUAAGUAAUGUGAAUUGCAGAUUUUCCGUGAAUCAUCGAAUCUUUGAACGCACCUUGCGCUCCCCGGUAUUCCGGGGAGCAUGCCUGUUUGAGUGUCAUCGAAAUCUCGAACCGACGCCUUCGAUCCGUUCGAAGCUCGGUCUCGGAACGUGGGGGUCUGCGGGCGGCGACGUCGGCUCCCCUCAAACACAUCAGCUGUGGGCGCGAGCCCUGCGUGGCACGGCCUCCUCGACGUCGUAACGAUCGUCGCGGGCUGGAAGCGCACGGAUCGGCGGUCCCACGCUUCCCAACCUUUCUUGCGGGGACGACCGCGAGCAAUCGAAGCUUGACCUCAAAUCAGGUAGGACUACCCGCCGAACUUAAGCAUAUCAAUAAGCGGAGGAAAAGAAACUAACGAGGAUUCCCCUAGUAACUGCGAGUGAAGCGGGAAGAGCUCAAAUUUCGAAUCUGGCGGCCGUGGGUCGUCCGAGUUGUAAUCUAGAGAAGCGUCUUCCGCGCCGGACCGUGUACAAGUCUCCUGGAAGGGAGCAUCGUAGAGGGUGACAAUCCCGUCUCUGACACGGACCCCCCGGGGCUAUGUGAUGCGCUCUCGACGAGUCGAGUUGUUUGGGAAUGCAGCUCAAAUCGGGUGGUAAACUCCAUCUAAAGCUAAAUACUGGCGAGAGACCGAUAGCGAACAAGUACCGUGAGGGAAAGAUGAAAAGAACUUUGGAAAGAGAGUUAAACAGUACGUGAAAUUGCUGGAAGGGAAACGCUUGAAGUCAGUCGUGUCGGCCGGGGAUCAACCCUGCUUUUUGCUGGGCGUAUUUCUCGGUCGACGGGUCAGCAUCGAUUUCGACCGUCGUAGAAGGACGGGAGCGAACGUGGCACUCUCCGGAGUGUGUUAUAGCCUCUCGUAUGGAUGCGACGGCGGGGAUCGAGGAACUCGGCACGACCCCUCGAGGGUUCGGGGCUCAGGCCCACGUCACGUGCCCAGGAUGCUGGCAUAAUGGCUUUAAGCGACCCGUCUUGAAACACGGACCAAUC
RNAcentral lists this small RNA (1359 nucleotides) under Scleroderma sinnamariense. RNAcentral describes it as "eukaryotic LSU rRNA". The stretch from base 660 to 1359 matches the Rfam family "Eukaryotic large subunit ribosomal RNA", at positions 1 to 671 of the family's 3401-position model. Lineage: Eukaryota; Fungi; Basidiomycota; Agaricomycetes; Boletales; Sclerodermataceae. The record is from RNAcentral.